GGGGAAUAUUGGACAAUGGGCGAAAGCCUGAUCCAGCAAUGCCGCGUGAGUGAUGAAGGCCUUAGGGUUGUAAAGCUCUUUCGCCUGAGACGAUGAUGACGGUAUCAGGAGAAGAAGCCCCGGCUAAUUCCGUGCCAGCAGCCGCGGUAAUACGGAAGGGGCUAGCGUUGUUCGGAAUUACUGGGCGUAAAGCGCGCGCAGGCGGUUAGACAAGUGAGGCGUGAAAGCCCUGGGCUCAACCUGGGAAUUGCGCUUCAGACUGUUUGACUGGAGUUCGGGAGAGGGUGGUGGAAUUCCCAGUGUAGAGGUGAAAUUCGUAGAUAUUGGGAGGAACACCGGUGGCGAAGGCGGCCGCCUGGCCCGUAACUGACGCUAAAGCGCGAAAGCGUGGGGAGCAAAC
This 400-nucleotide ribosomal RNA is filed under the name uncultured bacterium. RNAcentral's name for it is "bacterial SSU rRNA". It matches the Rfam family "Bacterial small subunit ribosomal RNA", at positions 356 to 773 of the family's 1533-position model. The record is from RNAcentral.